UUCUAGCCCAGAUUGAAGCGGCAUCCUUUUUUGAGGAGGAACGACGAAAAAAAGAUAGAGCGGAAAGCUGGAUGUAGC
This 78-nucleotide small RNA is filed under the name Kaistella antarctica. RNAcentral describes it as "Chryseobacterium antarcticum Flavo-1 RNA". It matches the Rfam family "Flavo-1 RNA". Lineage: Bacteria; Pseudomonadati; Bacteroidota; Flavobacteriia; Flavobacteriales; Weeksellaceae. The record is from RNAcentral.